This is a long non-coding RNA of Rosa rugosa (rugosa rose), 2030 nucleotides long. RefSeq lists it as uncharacterized. NCBI's taxonomy places the organism in Eukaryota, Viridiplantae, Streptophyta, Magnoliopsida, Rosales, Rosaceae. The record is from RefSeq and is a predicted model, not a curated record. The transcript is spliced from 9 exons.
UCUCGUCCUACAUCACUCGACCUCCCAUCAUGAACUUUUCCGAAUUUGGCCUCACCUACACGUUUGUCUCUUCGGCCAUUCCAUUCUCUUUUCUUUCAUUUUGGGUCUCUUGGUUGGUUUCGUCACAGAGAGCAGCUCAGUGAGUGAGAAAAAGAGAUAAGAGAGGCGACAGCGAUUUCAACUAUGUUGUUGGUGUGUUCCUUUUUGAAGUUGAGUUUGGUAAUUUUUCUUUGUUUGAUUGGUGAUGUGGUUUUGAAAAUUCAAUAUGGGCAAAGGAGAAGAUUGGCAAGAAAGUUCCAAACAAAGGGAAUGGGCUUGAUUUGGAGAAAUACUCAUGGAUCCAGAGUUUGCAAGAGGUUAAUAUAAGGAUUCCAGUGCCUGCUGGAACUAAAUCAAGGGAUAUUGUAUAAUAUUUAUGAGGCAAAGAACCGUCUGAAGUUUGGACUGAAGAGUCAGCCUCUUAUAAUUGAUGUAAGUCUGCUGGUUUAUUAUUCAUAUCAUUACUAUGCCAUAUAACACAAACAACUAGAUGUAAUAUGAAAGCAUAGAGUUAACUUCAUGGUAAAAUUUUAAGAGGCAGAAUGGAAGAUUUAGUCUGCCAUAUAACAAAUCUGCAUUGUCGAUGCUGUAAUUUGUCUGUUUUGGUCUGUUAUUGAGAAUUUUCAUUUCCUCAGCUGAAUGCCGAUUUACUAAGGCCUGGGACAUCUGCAUUUGCAGAAUGGUGUAUCUUCAUAGGAUAUUGGAGUUGAAGUAAAUGUCAAAUUUUUUACUUGAAACUUUGCUCUUACAUGAUAAAAUCAAAUUCCGAAUAUAAGAACAAAAAGGUAAGCACACCGAUAUUGUGAUUUUGUUGAGAUGUACUCUACCGACAUCAGAUUCAAUAAAAACGUGAUGGGACUCUCUGGUUUGUCUGUUAAGAGUAGAUAUUGUUGGUAACAUAUAUAGGUCUCAGUUUUAUUAAUUGCUGCUGUUCCAACUUGGCUUAUUGUUUCUAUUUGCUGGUGUUUGUAAGAGGGGUGUUAUUUUGAAAAUAGGUUCCUUAUUUUGAAAACAGGCUUUCUUAUUCUUUCAAGGGCAAAACCUUGGUGAUAUUUUCAUUCAAUUUCUGGUCUGAACCAAAACUUAGCAACUAGCUUUCAUUGUCUAACAAUGGCAUUUAGUUCUAACAACAAAACUAUGAACUGGGUUUGUUUGCAUUUGCUUCUUCUACCGAUAUUCUCGGCAAAUGCAGUUCACUGUGGCACACUGGUCAAGUCUCUUUCAUGAUUCGAUGGUGAACUUCCUUUCAAGCUCUCCACUAGAAGGUAUACGACUGUUAACGGACCAGAGAUGUUUUACUACUUUAUUGAGUCAAAGGGAGACCCCAAAGUAGACCCUUUGUUGCUUUGAUACAGUAGAGGCCAUGGUUAUUCUGCUUUCAGUGGCCUUAUUUAUUAAAAUGGUCCUUUGGAUUUCAACUUUACAGAGUAUGAUGGAGGUAUACCAAAAACUUUUACUACCCAUACUCAUGGACAAGGACUGUAAGCACAUUGUUUAUAGAUGCACCUGUUGCCACUGGUUUCUUCUAUGCAAUUGAUGCAAAAGAAUAUGCUACCUCCGAUACAAAAACAGCAUCACAGUGGUCUCUCAAGCUUCAAAUUAUUUGUUGGGGCUGAUUCGUAUGCCAUUGUCGUUAAACAUAUUAUAGUUGGUAAUGAUGCUGGAGCAUCACCACGCCUCAAUCUCAAGUCCUAUUAAAUCAUGUCAAUCUGAGAUUUCUAAUGAGCAAUUUGCAAAAGCAUUCAAUCCUUCACUCCACUUGAGAAAGAUGCAGUGACAUGAAGAAAGAUGCAGCAGACAUGAAGAAAUCAACUGGACACAUCAGAGGAGUUAAUGUAAAAUAGUUGGUUUUAAGUUCUAACUACAACCAUAGAACACUUUUGCUAAGCCUAAUUAUUUUUUUGCAAUAUGUAUGUAUCUGGUUAACAUACCAGAUUUUGGAAUCUAUAGAAGAUAUUUUGGUUACUUGUAUAAAGUUUCGAAUGUUCGUA